UUUUAAAUAAAUUCUGCUCAAUGAAAUAAAAAUUAAAUAGCUGCAGUAAUUUCACUGUACUAAGGUAGCGUAAUAAUUUGUUUUUUAAUUAAAAACUAGAAUGAAUGGUAACAUGAAAAAUUAACUAUUUAAUUUAUUUAAGAGUAAAAAUUAAUGUUUAAGUAAAAAAUCUUAGAUAUUAUAAAAAGACAAGAAGACCCUUUAGAAUUUCAUGAGAAGCAAUUUAAAUUUAAAUUAGAACUCAUUAAAUUGGGGAGAUUGCAAAUAAGAAUUAACAUUUAAUUGUUUAAUAUACUAAUUAGUAUUUUAAAUUCAGCUAUCCAAAUAAAUAAUGAAAAAAAACCAAAUUACCUAAGGGAUAACAGCGUAAAAUUUUUAGAAAGUUCAAAUUUAUAAAAUAAAUUACGACCUCGAUGUUGGAUUAAGCA
RNAcentral lists this ribosomal RNA (428 nucleotides) under Pealius rubi. RNAcentral describes it as "partial 16S ribosomal RNA". The record is from RNAcentral. Lineage: Eukaryota; Metazoa; Arthropoda; Insecta; Hemiptera; Aleyrodidae.